UGCAGUCGACGAUGAUGCCCAGCUUGCUGGGUUGAUUAGUGGCGAACGGGUGAGUAACACGUGAGUAACCUGCCCCUGACUCUGGGAUAAGCGUUGGAAACGACGUCUAAUACUGGAUAUGAUCGCCGGCCGCAUGGUCUGGUGGUGGAAAGAUUUUUUGGUUGGGGAUGGACUCGCGGCCUAUCAGCUUGUUGGUGAGGUAAUGGCUCACCAAGGCGACGACGGGUAGCCGGCCUGAGAGGGUGACCGGCCACACUGGGACUGAGACACGGCCCAGACUCCUACGGGAGGCAGCAGUGGGGAAUAUUGCACAAUGGGCGAAAGCCUGAUGCAGCAACGCCGCGUGAGGGAUGACGGCCUUCGGGUUGUAAACCUCUUUUAGUAGGGAAGAAGCGAAAGUGACGGUACCUGCAGAAAAAGCACCGGCUAACUACGUGCCAGCAGCCGCGGUAAUACGUAGGGUGCAAGCGUUGUCCGGAAUUAUUGGGCGUAAAGAGCUCGUAGGCGGUUUGUCGCGUCUGCUGUGAAAUCCCGAGGCUCAACCUCGGGCUUGCAGUGGGUACGGGCAGACUAGAGUGCGGUAGGGGAGAUUGGAAUUCCUGGUGUAGCGGUGGAAUGCGCAGAUAUCAGGAGGAACACCGAUGGCGAAGGCAGAUCUCUGGGCCGUAACUGACGCUGAGGAGCGAAAGCAUGGGGAGCGAACAGGAUUAGAUACCCUGGUAGUCCAUGCCGUAAACGUUGGGCGCUAGAUGUAGGGACCUUUCCACGGUUUCUGUGUCGUAGCUAACGCAUUAA
RNAcentral lists this ribosomal RNA (795 nucleotides) under Curtobacterium sp. RNAcentral describes it as "bacterial SSU rRNA". It matches the Rfam family "Bacterial small subunit ribosomal RNA", at positions 56 to 863 of the family's 1533-position model. The record is from RNAcentral. Lineage: Bacteria; Bacillati; Actinomycetota; Actinomycetes; Micrococcales; Microbacteriaceae.